This is an RNA transcript of Rosa rugosa (rugosa rose), 4515 nucleotides long. It is a transcript of the gene named putative disease resistance protein RGA3, with no coding region annotated. NCBI's taxonomy places the organism in Eukaryota, Viridiplantae, Streptophyta, Magnoliopsida, Rosales, Rosaceae. The transcript has 7 exons. The record is from RefSeq and is a predicted model, not a curated record.
GAUAUAAAGUUGGGAUAGCACGCCAUUAGAAUAGUUGCUACUCCGUAUUUCUCCUCUUUUCCAGUUUCGUUCCCGAUCAGACCUUCAAGUAAGCAUGGCUGAGGCACUUGUUAAAGUUCUCCUUGAGCGUUUGGCUACGGUCGCCCUUGGCAAGGUUCGAGGAGAGUUCAAACUGGUCUUUGGGUUUGAGGAAGAAGUCAAGAGCCUCGCCCGCAAUCUAGAAGCUAUUCAAGCUGUGCUGGAGGAUGCAGAGCAGAGGCAAGUGACGGAGGCAACCGUGAGACGUUGGCUGAGUGAACUGACUGAAGUUUCCUACGAGAUAGAUGACGUUUUGGAUGAGUGGAUCACUCAAGUUCGAAAGAGACAGAUGGAGAAAGAAGAAAAGCAUGCUCUUGCUAUUGCUAAGAAGGUACGUUCCUCUGCCUCCUCUUUCAUUUCUGGUAGCAAGGUCAGGCGGUUUAUUCAUCGUCGCGAAAUGGCUGGGAGGAUUAAAGAGCUAAAUGAAAGAUUAGCUUUGAUUGAUAAGGAAAAACAAAGUUUUAAUUUUCAAAACACCACAAGAGACCCUCAACUACUUGUGCGGCAAAAAACUACUUCUCUUCCCAAUGUUAAAACAUUUGGUCGAGAUAAUGAAAAAAACCUCAUAGUUAGCAAGCUGCUAAGUGAGAGUAGUGAAGGAAAUGAGGCUCCUCUUAUCAUUCCUAUUGUAGGGAUGGGAGGAAUGGGGAAAACAACUCUUGCUCAACUUGUUUACAAUGAUGAAAAUGUGAAAUCUUAUUUUGACAAGAGAAUACGGGUUUGUGUCUCGGACCCGUUUGAAGAGAUCAAGAUUGCUCAAGCUAUCAUUGAAUGUCUAGAUAGAGAUAAUACCUCAAAAAAUUCAAAUCAGUUGCAAAUUCUUGUGGAAUGCAUAUAUGAAUUGCUUGAGGGUAAAAAGUUUCUCCUUGUCUUAGACGAUGUGUGGAGCCCAAAACUUACUCAAUGGGAAGAAUUGAUUAAAUCUUUAUGUAAUGGUGCUAUUGGCAGUAGAGUAUUGGUGACCACUCGAAAGAAGGAGGUUGCUACUUUAAUGAAAGCAACUACUCAAUUGAUCCUUUUGGAGGAGUUGGCUCAAACAUUUUGUUUGUCAUUGUUCUAUUACAAUGCAGACAUGAAUGAGAGUAGUGUGUCUCAAGAGUUACAAGAUAUUGGGUUAGAGAUUGUGAAAAGGUGCAAUGGGUUGCCUCUUGCUGCAAAGACAUUAGGAAGCCUUAUGCGCAAUAAGAAAAAGAUUCAUGAAUGGCAAGCUAUUUUAAGAAGUAAGACAUGGGAGUUGAAAGAGAUUCAACAAGAUGUUUUUCGACCACUAUUACUAAGUUAUCAUGAUUUGACUCCCACAAUCAAACGUUGUCUUUUGUACUGUGUUAUAUUUCCCAAAAAUUAUGUAUAUAAUAAAAAUAAUUUGAUUGAGUUGUGGAUGUCACAAGAUUAUCUGGAUGCCAAAGGAAGUAAAGAAAAGAUAACUAUUGGUCAAAAUUAUUUUGAUGACUUAGGAAUGCGGUCAUUCUUUCAAGAUGUUGUGGUAGAUGCUAAGAUUGAAAACAUAACAUGCAAAAUUCAUGAUAUUGUACAUGACUUUCUACAAUAUUUGACCAAGAAUGAAUGUUUGAUUCAAGAUUUUGAGUUGGGUGCUAGUGAAAGAACGGAGGUGCCAAAUGAUAAAGUUCAUCAUUUGACCUUAUUGCAUGCAACCGAGAGUGAUUCUUUGGUAUCUUUUCUCCUUAGUUAUAAAAAGUUACGUACCUUGACAGCUAUAGAUUCAUCCAAUAAUUCCACUAACCCAAUAUUUGAGUUGACAGUACAAUUGAAAUGCCUUAGGACAGUAAUCUUGCAUCCUAGGAACAAUGGUCUCGUAGAAAUUCCCGAAAUGAUAGGUGAAUUGAUACAUUUGAGGUAUCUUGAUUUAUCUGGUAAUGACAAGUUAAAAGAAUUGCCCAGCGCCAUGGGUAGCUUAUACAACUUGCAAACCUUGCGACUUGUUGGUUGUGACAGUCUCCGAAAAGUAGAUGUGCGAAGGCUGAUUAACUUGAGGCAUCUUUAUGUUGAUGGCUGUGGUUCCCUAAGCAUAAUACAAGGAAUUGAGAAAUUAACAGAUCUGCAAAGGCUAGAUAGGUUUCGUGUCGGAGAUUGUGAUGAAGAAAACAAGUUCGAAGAUCUGAAAGACUUAAACCAGCUUCAAGGGGGUCUUACUAUUGAGACUAAGGGAAAUCCAAAUAUGGCGGAGAAAGCAAUUAUGGUGAAUAAGGCUCACCUCCUGCAAUUGAAACUAGACUUCCAAUUGAGUUAUUAUGCAGAGCGGCAAAGAGAAAUUAUGAAUGGCUUAGAGCUGCAUCCAUGUUUGGAAUCUUUAUCGAUCUCUUAUUAUGAAGGCGGCGCCUUCUCCCGUUGGUUGUUGUCUUUACACAGCUUGAGAGUCCUCACCCUCAAGGAGUGCAACAAUUGUCGGUCUUUUCCUCCUUUAGGGAAACUGGCGUCUCUUGAAUCAUUGCAUAUUGAGAGACUCGAUGGAGUUGAGAAGGUAGGAGUUAAGUUUUUGGGAAUAGAUGGGCAAAUCUCGUCCUCCAUUUUCAUAUCAUUCCCGAAGCUGGAAAAACUCACCAUCGAAGACAUGCGGUUAUGGAAAGUGUGGGAAGGAGUGGAGGGUUGGAUGCGGGAAGAGGAGAAUUCUGAGAAUAAUAAUAUUACAAUUAUGCCAUGCCUCUCUCAGUUGACAAUUUCUUUGUGCUGGAACAUAAAAGCACUGCCAGACUUCCUGUGGAAGACACCACUACAGAAAUUGCACAUCAAGGCAUCUCCAUUUCUCCAAGAACUUUACAGAAGAAAAAAAAAAAGGGCCGAGAUUUCUCACAUCCCAAACAUCAAAUUAGGAUGAAUUGGUGGUGACUUGCAUGGCCAGCUCAUGCUUCAUUAAUUUUAUUGGACAUUUCAUAGCACUGCCGGACUAUGAGCCAUCAUAGAAGAUUGUUCAACUUGGGAUUGUUUCUUUGGUUCUACCUAGAAGAAAAUCGUACCAAGAUACAUGUAGAGCUAAUAUAUAUCGAAGCUUGAAGCAUUAAUUUAGAAUCGCCUUAGAGUUGAAAGCCUGAUCGAAUUGUACAUUGGUGGAGGAUGGGAAUAAUGAUCUGCCAAUAUUUGAUUGUAAUCCCAGCUCGAUCAACUUCCAAACAGGCAGUGGCGGAACUUGGAGCCCAAUCUUGGAGGGGCCAAAAAUUAAUAGUUUAGUAAAUUGGGGCAAUGGGGGGGCCAUAUAUAUACAAAAUUGUUGACUUUAUUGGUGUUAUACACGGCUGGUUAAGGAAAUUUGAAAACAUUGGGGGGGGCCAUGGCCCUCACCCGCCCCUAUAAGGAUCCGCCACUGCAAACAGGUCUCACUUCCCCAUUAAUGUGACAGAGUGAUAGGCUAAACAUCGAAUCACCAACAUCUUUGAACCUACCUUAGAGAUUCUCUACUUAUGCAGAGAGGAUAAGCACUACAUCUUCCUUCAUCAACAGAAUCUUCCUUGUGAUUUGUCCGCCAAACAAAGACAGCACGAGCUGAAAUGUGUGAAGAACUGUUGACUGGCUUGUUGUCGAAGACAGAUACAUUAACUGUCACGGAACCAGUUACUAUUCCAGGAAUGAAGACCUUUCUCUAUCUAGGGCAGUAUUUGUUUCAUCAAGCACACUUCAUGUAUCUACUGCAGAGGAUACGCCACAUCGAGGUCAUUUGCUGCUUUGGACUGCAUACAACGAUUAUGAUGCAUUGCAUGAGAUGAUUUUCUUAAAAGAUUACUAUCAAGUCUAUCAUUGGAGGUCACAAACAGCACCAGGCAGCUGAGACAUAACAUAUUCUUGAAGCAGGAUUGAAGAUCUUCCUGGUUAAUUGUGAUAUUCUUUUUCCUCUGAUGCUUGAACUCGACUCCUUAUUAAGUACACCCACAUCCUGACAUUCUUGGUCUGAUCAUGACUUGCAGAUCAAAGAAGGAUAGUUUUCUUGUACAAGCCUUCAGUAAUUUGGUUUCCAUUCGUCCAGUAGGAGGUUCCCUUUUGUAGAGUUUAUCAAAGUCAAAUGCCCACUGCCACAGAAUCUGGGUUUCUUCCAGUAAUAAAGGGAGGAACCUCACAUCUCCAAGAUGCCCCUCAACACGAUGCACAACUGGGAAAUUCCUUUGCAUUUCAGAUUUUUCAACAAUGGUGGAGAUAUGAGGAACCUUAGUAUAGAAAUUUCAAGACAAUUUCAUCUGCUAGAGGUGAUGCUGAUAAUUCUGGAAAACCUGGCAAAGCUGAUGAAAAACCUUAAAUCUCUCCGGAAAGAAGACCAGCAGCUCCAGCAUUAGCGUUAAUAAGUUUUCUGGUUUGGAAUCUGGGUGUUGUUUAUUUUUUUACAAUCACAAGAACUACAGCUAUCAUCUGCCAUCUUUUUUUUCUUUUCUCUACUUCAGUUGGGGUGUGUGGUACUCUUUUCCCCUUCGUCCGGGAAUCUUGUCCCACUGGGUU